UUAAGGCUAUUAUUUCACUGA
RNAcentral lists this non-coding RNA (21 nucleotides) under Caenorhabditis elegans. The record is from RNAcentral. Lineage: Eukaryota; Metazoa; Nematoda; Chromadorea; Rhabditida; Rhabditidae.